AAUUCUCAACUUCAAAAGUUUUUAUUAACUUAUUGGAGCUUGGAUUAUGGGAGCUUGCUGGCGUCUUAGAUGUUCGGCUCUCCUUAAAUUUAUUAGUGGAAAUCUCUUUGUUGGAGUUAGUCCCUGGUGUGAUAAUUAUCUACUCCUUGGAUGGUCCAAUGUUUCCAUUGAGAUUGUUCAGUGAAUGCCUUCUGGUGUUUUCUGGUUUUGUAGUAUUGCAACUAGUUGCUCUACUUGAAUCUCAGAGGAAGAAGGGAAGCUCUGCUCUCUAACUGUCUGUGUAUUAUGGACAACUUAUUGACU
This 303-nucleotide unclassified non-coding RNA is filed under the name uncultured Gymnopus. RNAcentral's name for it is "sequence contains ITS2". The record is from RNAcentral. Lineage: Eukaryota; Fungi; Basidiomycota; Agaricomycetes; Agaricales; Tricholomataceae.